Molecule: ribosomal RNA, 989 nt
Filed under: Nemoura mortoni
Lineage: Eukaryota; Metazoa; Arthropoda; Insecta; Plecoptera; Nemouridae
Description: partial large subunit ribosomal RNA
Source: RNAcentral
GUGUACCGGAAGGUGCACCUGGAAAGUCAGGAUAGAGCUUGAUUAGUUAAGCAUUUCAUUUACACUGAAAAUACACUGUGCAAUUCAGUUUAUUCUGAAAAAUUUUAACUUACUGUAAUUAUUUGAUGAAGAGGUUAUUUUUAAUUAAAUUAUUUUUAAUAUUAGAAGUUUUUGUAUAGAAUAUAGAUAAAAUUAUUAGUGUGGUAGGUGAAUUGUAUCGUGAGAGGUUGUUUGAAAUAUUUUGAAAAUAUAUUUUAUUGAAAGUAGGAUAUUUUCCGUACCUUGGGUAUCAGGGUCUAUUAAAAAAAUUUAUAAUUAUUUAUAUUUUCCCGAUUUAAAGAGAGCUAAAUAAAUAUGUUAGUUAAUGUGGAAUAAUUAUUAAUAAUAUUUAUUUAGUAAUGAAACGUUAUCCGUUCUUUAAGAUAUCUGGUUUUCUAAGAAAUGAAUUUAAUUCAGGUUUUUAGUAGUAUUUAUUUAAUUUAUUAAAUUAUUUAUUACUAAAAUCUAAUAUUUUGGGGGAUAAGCUUCAAGAUAGGUUUUAUAAUUUUGUUAUUUUUAAAAAUUUUGUAGGCUUAGAAUUAGCCAUCUAUUAAAGGAUGUUAUAAUUUAAUUUUUUGAAAUAUUAAUUUUCUUAAAAUUUAAGUUUUAUAUUAGAAUGAUUUAUUUAAUUUUUAAAUAAAUGUAAUAAUGAUAAAAUUAGUAUAUAAAUUGUUUUUCUUAUUUUUUUGUGUUAGGUUACAUUAAGGAAUUAGGCAAAUUAAUACUCGCCUGUUUAACAAAAACAUGUCUUCUUGAAUAAAAUUUGAAGUCUGACCUGCCCACUGAAUUUUAUAUUUAAAGGGCCGCGGUAUUUUGACCGUGCAAAGGUAGCAUAAUCAUUAGUCUUUUAAUUGAAGGCUAGAAUGAAUGGUUGGACGAGGUAUUGACUGUCUCGGUGUGAUUGAUAUUAGAAUUUAACUUUUAAGUUAAAAGGCUUAAAUGUUUUAGAG